This is a non-coding RNA of Gasterosteus aculeatus aculeatus (three-spined stickleback), 322 nucleotides long. The record is from RefSeq and is a predicted model, not a curated record. Lineage: Eukaryota; Metazoa; Chordata; Actinopteri; Perciformes; Gasterosteidae.
GGACGUAGUAACUCCACCUUACGUCUGAUUACUGAGUCUGGUGUUGAUAGAACAACAAUGAUAUUUCACAUCACCAGGUGGCCUCUGCUGGUUGUGAUGCUGAUUCUUCUGCUUCUCUUUUGUCUGUGGACGAGGAAGAAGAAAGCUGUGAGCUCCACCACUGAACCACGUGAGUCCAGAGAGGCUGUGGAGGUGAGACAUUUGUCCUCAGAGACAGAACUCACCAAAGGGUCAUCGUCUGUUGUUAUUAAGUCAUGAAGAUAAUUCAGAAGUAACUUCAUCACUAACAUCUUUCUCCUUUUGAACCACCAAUAUUUAUUUA